This 216-nucleotide long non-coding RNA is filed under the name Mytilus galloprovincialis (Mediterranean mussel). The record is from RNAcentral. Lineage: Eukaryota; Metazoa; Mollusca; Bivalvia; Mytilida; Mytilidae.
AGCAUAGUGAAUUGCUCUAAGAGAAACAAAAAUUUUAAGUUCAUUAGAACACAUUCAUUCUGUGUCAGAAACCUAUGCUGUGUCAACUAUUUAAUCACAAUCCAAAUUUAGAGCUGAAUCCAGCUUGAAUGUGUGUCCAUACUUGCCCUAACCGUUCAGGGUUCAACCUCUGCGGUCGUAUAAAGCUACGCCCUGCGGAGCAUCUGGUUUUAGUUU